GAUGAAGAACGCAGCGAAAUGCGAUAAGUAGUGUGAAUUGCAGAAUUCCGUGAAUCAUCGAAUCUUUGAACGCACAUUGCGCCUUCUGGUAUUCCGGAAGGCAUGCCUGUUCGAGAGUCAUUAACAACCGUUUCGAUCCCUUUCUUUCAGAAAUUACAAAGAGGAAAAGGGUUUGGUUAUGGUGGAGGAGGGAAAGGGAGCGUUUAGCCUGUAAAAAAAGAGGCUGUGUUCCGCCUCCCCCCCAAAAUUGUACAGGCGGUCGUGUGCGCCCACGCAUCGAGGUGUUGUAAAAGCUGCCACGGCACUUUUCACCUGUGCAGUGCGAGAUUGGCCAGCCGGUUUAAAAACCCCUCCAAACAAUCAAAGGUUGACCUAGGAUCAGGUAGGGAUACCCGCUGAACUUAAGCAUAUCAAUAAGCGGAGG
RNAcentral lists this unclassified non-coding RNA (424 nucleotides) under soil metagenome. RNAcentral describes it as "partial contains 5.8S ribosomal RNA, internal transcribed spacer 2, and large subunit ribosomal RNA". The stretch from base 1 to 120 matches the Rfam family "5.8S ribosomal RNA", at positions 35 to 154 of the family's 154-position model. The record is from RNAcentral.